GUAUUUGCAAAGUGUAAGAACAUUGCACAGUUGAUCCAGUUUGCAGCCAUCCGUAUGUAAAUACAACAUAGCACUUUACAAAAUCCUUCUAUGAAGUGAUAACUUACAAGCAUAGAUGGACAAUAUAUCACACAGCAAGGUUAGGAACCAGUACAACCCAUUUUACUCAACAUAACAUAUAAGCUAUUGAGGCUAUUAUUCAUGUUCUUCCUGUGGGUCCUCCUGUGGUAACUAUCACGUCAAGGCUGAUUUUGAUGGUAGCACCAAGUAGCUCUCUACGUAAUCUUCCCUGGCAUAUUUACAAGAACCUUAUUAGAUAUUUGUAGAUAUGAAUAGAUCAUAGAAAUAAGAGAAUAAAACAAAAAUAAAAAUGAACUAUAUGUUGUCCAAAAUUCUUAAAUCUUAUAGUGCAUACAAAUGAGAAUAACAUUGCAUCUACUAUAAAAUGAGAGUAAACAUGAAGUUGCCUAAAAUUAACCAAAGAAAACCCUGUCAAAUGAAAGUUAAAUGACAAAGAAACAAAACAUACAUCACAUAACUCAAGUACUAUUGUAGUAGCAGUUGAGGCCAUAUAAACAUGCCAACAAAUGGCAUCACUAACAAACAAUAGCCUCGCCGUGAUGUGUAAACUUGUUGACACGUGAACAUUUGAAGUUUACGCCAAACGGGUCAACGAGCAGCGGCAUAAAACUCAACAUUUAUGCUGCAAGUACAUCUCAAAGGGCUGACUAGUAAACAAUACUUGCUGCCCACUUGACAAACAUAAUACUAUUAUUUAUAACAGGAAACAAUAAUGAAAUGAAAUGAACCAGUAUAUAUGUAUACAGGGUGACAACGGUAGGAACAAGGCUUGUGCAUGUGUGAGAGAUGAUUCAUCAUUACUGCAUGUAUAUUAAUAGUGCAAGCAUGUAUAUGCAUCAGCAGCAAAACAAGAUAUGCUAAAACGUGUAUUGUUUUAAUGUCAUACUACAUGUAUAAUAAACAAAGUUACAGUGCAGCCACCUAGUGCUAUACAUAUUCAGUUUACUAGGAGCAAGGAUGCCAGGAAGCACAUGGUAUACAUAUUAAAAAGUUGAUAUACCUUCUUAAGACUGUUAGAUAUUAGAUUUCAAAGCAGCAAGAACAGCCAAGUAUUUUUCCAUAGCCUGCACAAGAUAAGGUGAUGUGAAUGCACCUGCAAGCACAAAUUUCGGACUGUGAGCUACCAUAAACCAUAUUAAAACAUAUAUGCUAUUUUUUUGAGAAGUCUGUUAGAUGCUAGAUUCACACUAUUGUUUACCAAAAUUGAGAUAGAUAAUAGUAGUAUCAAUAUUUUCUUAAUAAUCUCUAUUUCCUUUACUUACUUGGAUCCGAGCAAUAAUAAACCUAAGUUAUUUUUCAAAAUGUAGUGAUUUUUAUAGUUGCCUUUUCAAGCAUGGGUCCAUAUUUUCCCAUAACUAGAAUAUCCUUAAGCUAUUAAUUUCCAAAUUUAUGCAUGAUGCAAACAGUUCACCAGUAAACCUUUGAUAUAUUGUAUAUUUAAAUAUCACAAAACAAAGUCCUAGCUUAUUGCAAAGCAAUGCUGCAAAACUAAAACAUAUCAGAGAGAACACACUACACAUGUUAUAUCGAAUAGAAUAACUGAUGAGAGGCAAGUUCCAACUCCAUUGUCCAGAAUAUCUAGAAUGUGGGCUACAUCAAGUUGAUAUUGAUCUUGCUGUCCAAAAUCCUAUGAAGGCAGAAGUACGACUACGAAAAUACAUGUUAGCUCUUAACACGUAAAAGACAGAGUUGGCAGGAUCAAUGAUUUUCUGAAUUGUGGCCAAACCUCAUACAGAACUUGAAACAAACAUAUUCUGCUUGACACCAAAGACAAUUAGAAUUCUGGUUCACAUCCUAGUUAUGCUUAAUGACAUCAACUAGAUUCUUGUUACUUAAAUUGACUAUGCUAACCCAUGUACUACAGCCACAAUAGGAGUAAUCGUGGCUAUAAGAGAUCUUGAUCAACAGAUGUAUGUAUCAUUCAAAAAUAUUGGAAUAAAGUAUCAAGUGGUCGGAGCAUACAAUUAUUCCCUUGCUAGUGAACACACAUAUUUAAGGCAUUUGCUUAAAUUUAGAGUGCACUUAUGAAACAUGGGUGUUUAGAUUCACGACUUGCUGACCUGGCUCAACUUGGAUGCUUCCAUCAACUGCCUGUUGUCUCGGCAUAUUUGUUGGUUCACACCGGCAGCCAACAAUCGACAUCACCGUCAUACAUUCACUUCUCUACUAUACAUAUCAAAUCAAGCACUACAAAGUUAGUGAGUGAAACAGGAGACACUGUGCAUAUUAACCAAGAUAAUUACCACAUUUGAACAAGUGAAAUAUAUAUGUAUAAGUGAUUUGCAUAUUAAACCAGAAAAUUAUGAACUACAAAAUACUUCAAUUCCCCUCACUGUCCAGGACACAAUAGAACAAACUAGAGGUGCAACAGCUCAUGCAAGAAAAAACAGAAUUCCUACUUGCUAAAUUACUCCAUUCUUCAGGCCCAUGCAAGCUAAUAGUCUACAUGAAACACUGCAUGGUUCAGCCACGGGCUCACAGUAGAGGAGAUAGGCAGAGGUACAAGUGCUUAACUAUAAAGAAUCUAUAAAGCCUCAAUUAGCCCCCACAAAACUUCUCAUUUCAAGCCAUUUGGAUUGCCUCUUUAUUAAGCUUGACACCAAAAUUAUUACUGGACAAGGUAAACAUAUAUGUUCCACGGUUCCAAGAACAGUAACUUGUUCAAAUAUAUACGGAUGAACACGCUCAGUCAGCCAAAGCACAUACUACAAAGAAAAGAAGGGCUGGAGCAGAGGAAAAGGGGUUUGAGGUGUUCACCUGGGCAAGGGAGGGCCUCCAGUGGUCCAAAUGCAGCGGAGG
Molecule: long non-coding RNA, 2880 nt
Filed under: Triticum aestivum (bread wheat)
Lineage: Eukaryota; Viridiplantae; Streptophyta; Magnoliopsida; Poales; Poaceae
Description: long non-coding RNA (TAES_LNC021509)
Source: RNAcentral